Molecule: ribosomal RNA, 466 nt
Filed under: uncultured bacterium
Lineage: Bacteria
Description: partial 16S ribosomal RNA
Rfam family: Bacterial small subunit ribosomal RNA
Source: RNAcentral
CUACGGGCUGCUGCAGUCGAGAAUAGUCUACAAUGGGGGAAACCCUGAUAGUGCGACGCCGCGUGAACGAAGAAGCUUUUCGGAGUGUAAAGCUCUUUUCUGUAUGAGCAAUGCUUUAUUGUUUAAGAGAUAAUAGAGAGAGAUAUUAGUACAGGAAUAAGCCACGGCUAACUCCGUGCCAGCAGCCGCGGUAAUACGGGGGUGGCAAGCGUUGUCCGGAAUUACUAGGCGUAAAGGGCAGGUAGGCGGAUAUUCAAGUCAGGCGUUAAAGGCAUCAGCUCAACUGGUGUACGGCGUUUGAAACGGGAUAUCUAGAGUCAGGUAGAGGUAGAUGGAAUUCCUAGUGUAGCGGUGGAAUGCGCAGAGAUUAGGAAGAACACCAAAGGCGAAGGCAAUCUACUGGGCCAUGACUGACGCUAAACUGCGAAGGUGUGGGUAUCAAACAGGAUUAGAUACCCCCGUAGUC